GCCGGGUGCAGUGGCCCAAGCCUGUAAUCUCAGCGGCUUGGGAGGCUGAGGCAGGAGGAUUGCGAGUUCAAAGCCAGCCUCAGCAAAAGUGAGGUGCUAAGCAAUUUAGUGAGUCCCUGUCUCUA
RNAcentral lists this small RNA (125 nucleotides) under Marmota monax (woodchuck). Lineage: Eukaryota; Metazoa; Chordata; Mammalia; Rodentia; Sciuridae. The record is from RNAcentral.